Molecule: ribosomal RNA, 495 nt
Filed under: uncultured bacterium
Lineage: Bacteria
Description: partial 16S ribosomal RNA
Rfam family: Bacterial small subunit ribosomal RNA
Source: RNAcentral
GAUGAACGCUGGCGGCGUGCCUAAUACAUGCAAGUCGAGCGAACGGACGAGAAGCUUGCUUUUCUGAUGUUAGCGGCGGACGGGUGAGUAACACGUGGAUAACCUACCUAUAAGACUGGGAUAACUUCGGGAAACCGGAGCUAAUACCGGAUAAUAUUUUGAACCGCAUGGUUCAAAAGUGAAAGACGGUCUUGCUGUCACUUAUAGAUGGAUCCGCGCUGCAUUAGCUAGUUGGUAAGGUAACGGCUUACCAAGGCAACGAUGCAUAGCCGACCUGAGAGGGGGAUCGGCCACACUGGAACUGAGACACGGUCCAGACUCCUACGGGAGGCAGCAGUAGGGAAUCUUCCGAAAUGGGCGAAAGCCUGACGGAGCAACGCCGCGUGAGUGAUGAAGGUCUUCGGAUCGUAAAACUCUGUUAUUAGGGAAGAACAUAUGUGUAAGUAACUGUGCACAUCUUGACGGUACUUAAUCAGAAAGCCACGGCUAACUACG